Molecule: ribosomal RNA, 846 nt
Filed under: Xenolpium sp. JM-2008
Lineage: Eukaryota; Metazoa; Arthropoda; Arachnida; Pseudoscorpiones; Olpiidae
Description: eukaryotic LSU rRNA
Rfam family: Eukaryotic large subunit ribosomal RNA
Source: RNAcentral
AGUAAUGGCGAACGAAAAGGGAACAGCUCAUAGCCGAAUCCGCGAUCGUGAGGUCGCGGAAAUGUGGCGUAUGGGAGGCGACUUUCAUUUCUAUUAAUUAGGUGUAAGUCCUCUUGAGAGAGGCACUUUCCCAGAGAGGGUGCUAGGCCCUUGAUGCCUAAUUUUAGAGAGGUUCUGUCGUUUUCCCGGGAGUCGGGUUGCUUGGGAGUGCAUCUCAAAUUUGGUGGUAAACUCCACCUAAAGCUAAAUAAGACCGAGAGACCGAUAGCAAACAAGUACCGUGAGGGAAAGUUGAAAAGCACUUUGAAGAGAGAGUUCAAGAGUACGUGAAACCGUUCGGAGGUAAACGGGUGGGGCUUCGAAAGCCAAAGUCUAUUCAAGCUUUUCUGGGCUGGAUCUAAAGCCUUAUCGCUCGACCAGAGGAUGAUGCCUUAUUUGAAGGUUCGGAUUGCUUCUUUUCGGCAGAUUGGACGCUGCAACUGGUUGGGAAGCUGUCGAAUGGUUGGAUUUGAAGGUGGCCAUUCUCUCUUCUGAGUUAGUGGUGUUUUAGCGCUUCAAAACCCGACCGUUGUCCGACCGUGGAAGAGUAUCUCUCGAGAACGCUCCAGACCGAGGUAUUUGGCUAUUAUUUGGAGAGUUACUAGUCCGAUUAUCCAUCCUUGGAUGCUAACGGUUCUUGUGGCGUAUCUUUAUUUUAGCCAGCAUUGGAGCUAGAGGUUAGCGGCGAGUAGGUCGGUCUCCCACCCGACCCGUCUUGAAACACGGACCAAGGAGUCCAAUGCGUGUGCAAGUUCCCGGGACUUGAAUAGGCCCGAGGGCGUAAUGAAAGUGAAACAUUUGGGAUCC